This 42-nucleotide unclassified non-coding RNA is filed under the name Acartia pacifica. Its description in RNAcentral is "partial trans-spliced leader sequence". Lineage: Eukaryota; Metazoa; Arthropoda; Copepoda; Calanoida; Acartiidae. The record is from RNAcentral.
GUCUAAAACGACCAAGCUAAUACUUGCUUGAUUCACUAAGGG